This 301-nucleotide ribosomal RNA is filed under the name uncultured bacterium. RNAcentral describes it as "partial 16S ribosomal RNA". It matches the Rfam family "Bacterial small subunit ribosomal RNA", at positions 509 to 807 of the family's 1533-position model. The record is from RNAcentral.
CAGUCGCCGCGGGAAUACAGAGGGUGCGAGCGUUAAUCGGAUUUACUGGGCGUAAAGCGUGCGUAGGCGGCUAAUUGAGUCGGAUGUGAAAUCCCCGAGCUUAACUUGGGAAUUGCAUUCGAUACUGGUUAGCUAGAGUGUGGGAGAGGAUGGUAGAAUUCCAGGUGUAGCGGUGAAAUGCGUAGAGAUCUGGAGGAAUACCGAUGGCGAAGGCAGCCAUCUGGCCUAACACUGACGCUGAGGUACGAAAGCAUGGGGAGCAAACAGGAUUAGAGACCCCGGUAGUCCCUGUCUCUUAUAC